This 306-nucleotide long non-coding RNA is filed under the name Gallus gallus (chicken). RNAcentral's name for it is "lncRNA (ENSGALG00010000160.1)". The record is from RNAcentral. Lineage: Eukaryota; Metazoa; Chordata; Aves; Galliformes; Phasianidae.
CCCGACCCCAGCCCGGGGGUGGGCACGCACUGCUGGGGAGCCUGCGUGCUGACAGAGGCCGGCACCCUCCAAGCAGGCCUUGUUCCCUACAGGCAGCAGCAUCAGCUGGAGCUGGAGGCAGCCCACGUGCCUGGGGCUGUGCUGCCGAAGCUGGUGGAGGCAGAGCUGGUAAGGGGCAGAGCCCAGCGCACCCUCACCCUGUCCGACAAGGUUCUCCUCGGGGACAGGGCUCCCUGCAGUGCUGGGGCUGCCACUGUCCUGCACGAGCCCCGGCUGUGCAGCAGGGCCUGACCAGCACCCCUGCCC